RNAcentral lists this unclassified non-coding RNA (874 nucleotides) under Bombus terrestris (buff-tailed bumblebee). RNAcentral's name for it is "misc RNA ENSBTSG00005019567.1". Lineage: Eukaryota; Metazoa; Arthropoda; Insecta; Hymenoptera; Apidae. The record is from RNAcentral.
UCUGUAUGUCAGUUUGUCAAACCAUGCAAUGUCUGUUUCUAUCCCUACCGGAGGAGCUGACAGUGAGAUUCAGGGGCGUGUUGAUGAGCUGAUUGUUAGUCAAUCCCGCUGUCAUUCCCUGGAGACCCGCAGCUAGCGACGCGACUUGCGAUUUUCAGGUGACGGACUAUUCUUCCGCGAGUUCUUCAUCUCAUCCAUCAUCAUCUGAUGCUCAUGGAGCGAGCCGGUCGCGGCCGCCACCGGUUCAGGGCUGCCAACGCUACUCCUGUCACUGUCCUGUAACAAACGUGCGUUCAAAUGGACAACGUGGACGCGAUCGCCGGACCCAACCUACCCCAAGGGGAUUCGAUAAACGUCCCAACUUUCGAUGACGCUCGCCGAGUAUCCAGGAAUACGUCCAACUUUUUAAAUUAUCGAUCCCCCCGCAUUCUGCUGAUAUAAUUAAUUCCUGUUGCGUAAGCAGCUUGACAUACUAGGAGCAACUUUCGAAUGCAAGAAUAUGAUGUAUACUUUUAUUUUUUCCUUUCGCGUCAAUUUUUUAUCGUUUACCGUCAAUAUAGAAAAAGUAAAUGCACUUAAUUUUAAUUAUUGAAAUUGAAGUUUUCGAUUGAACAGUGAUUGACAUUUUUGUGUUUAAUUAGUUUUAGAGAAAAAUAUUGUGUAUUGGCAAUUGCGGAAUAACACAGUGCAAAAACAAAUCCCAUGUUUCUCUAUCGUUAAAGUAUUUCGUGAAUUUAUGGAAAAUAUAAAAAAGAUAUUUUCAAAACAUUAAGGCUUUUUGUUUGUUGAGAUAUGAGUGAGAUUCGGACAUAAAAAUUAGAUCACAGUAGGGUUAAAAAGAUACACAUGAUAUAAUUUACCUCUAGAAAAAUAA